This is a long non-coding RNA of Myotis lucifugus (little brown bat), 3541 nucleotides long. RefSeq lists it as uncharacterized. NCBI's taxonomy places the organism in Eukaryota, Metazoa, Chordata, Mammalia, Chiroptera, Vespertilionidae. The record is from RefSeq and is a predicted model, not a curated record. The transcript has 3 exons.
CGGACCCUCCAGCCUCGGGGCCCGCGCCGGUCGGGUCCCGCCGCCCAGGGCGCAGCGUCCAGCGCAGAUAUGAACUUUGAGCACGUGGCCAUUGCCUCCUAUCAGGAAUGUGGGCUCCUUGAUGAGGCUCAGAGACUUCUGUGAUGUGAUGCUGGAAGUUUUUGCACUUGUAGCAUCUGUAGCCAGUCCAUGGACUCUGCUGACUCACCCCCUUGUCCACCGUGCUGCGGCUGCCAGUGCUGGGCUGUGUGGAGAGUCCAGCAAUGAAUUCCUCGAGCAUCCCUAACACCCAUUGUUUCCCAAAGUGCAGAAAGUGUCUGGAGUCAAGAGUAUUACAGACAGCUUCCCCUCAGAGGUAUGGACAGUCAUCCUGAGGGAGCACCAAGCUGGAGGGCAUCCUGCCCCUUCUCUCCUGGCAGGUAGGCCCGGCUGGCCUCUGAUUAUCGGGAGAUGGUGGUCUUUCUGAAGAGAUCACUUAGCACGUCAUCUCGGCAACUGGGGGAGUGUCCUCCAGAGAAGAGAGGAAGAACUGAAAGCAGACGUAGGGCAGGAGUGUCCUCAGAGAGCCCUCCCUUUCCCUACCCGCCUCCCCAGAUGUCUCCUGUGCAGGCCAUGUGGCCAGGACCACAAUUUCCAAACCUACUCGGCCUGUUCACAGCCUAGCAUCACCCCAACAUACAGAGCACCCUUGGUCAGGAUGGCUAGGGCUUGGUGGCUGGUUCAGUGGAGGCACAUGUUCGGUCAAGGCUGCCUCUGUUGGGAGCCCGUCCCUUUCGUAUUAAGUCCCCAGGGCCUGGGGCAGAGAAGGACAGUGACAAAUGGGGCUGCAACAUGCCGAGGUGGGGUGAUCUCACCAAGGCCUAGAAGCAGAGGCAGCAGGGAACACGGAGCCCUGGGGUCAAAAGUGGGGCUGCGUACUUCACAGCUGUAGUAUGAAUGGGAGCCCCUGGCUGCAGACGUGAGCUGAGGUCCUGGGUGGCCAGCCCUUGCUCCAACCAUGGCUCAGAGGGUGAGCCCUGAGCACCUGGGAGAAAAUCCUCAUCUCUGCAUGGUGAUUUUGACCGCAAAAUCAGUUUUACCUUGUAUUUUGUGCUUUUCUCCAAUCUCUGAAUUUUCUACCAUGAACAUAUACUCUUGUCAAAAGUAAUUGAAGAAAAAAAUUGGGGAAAAAACCCUGAAAAGACCUUCAACUACCUCAUAGUAAGACAGGCGAUGGACUCUCCAAAUACAAGUGAAAAAUGCAUGUGGUUGGAGUUCUGGGAGCAUUAGGACAAGGCUGAUUUGUACAGCAUCUCGCUCCAGGCCGCCUGAGGACUGUAGACCCAGAGCCAUGCCCACUGUUGGGAUUCUUGCUCCUUCCGCACUCUCCCAGGACCUAUCCCCCAGCCCCCAGCCACUCAGUGUCUGCACUCACCAUAAAGUUUGAAGCACCCACCUCUUACCACUUGAAAUCGGGAAAAUUUGGCUUUAAGUCUUGUUCAGUGGACCAGACAAGCAUCCAGUGUAUGAAGUCAGCAUGCGGAGCAGAGGAGGAGAUGUGCAGACAGCAGCAAAGGCAGAGAGAGCUCGAGUUCCCAGCUGGUCGCUCGGGAGAAGGUGGAGGACAGCCCAGCACUUGGCAGCCCAGGAAUCAGAGCGGAUGCAUGAGAUCAAGUCAGUGCCGCAUCCACUGAAUGGGACAGUGUGAUGGUCACGCAUUUACUUUGAUGGGGACCUUGUUUUAUGGUGACACUGCUUUGCUAUUGACAGGACCGUGAUCAUGACGGUCAUGAGCACCAUGAUUAUAUGGUGAAUGUUAACUGUUCUCCGACGUUGUGUACAAAGGGCACACCUCCUGACCACUGACCUUGCUCUGCUCCCAACAUCCGUGGCUUGGCAUCUGUUCUUCUAGUCUGUGUUCCCCUCUUCCCACAGCCCACCAUAUAAUAACCUUUCUUUUUAAAAUAAAGUCAAGUGGAAAUGGUGAGUCGAUUUGAGGGGAAAGAUGUACGUAAUCACAGAGGUGAUAGAAGCAGGGCAAAAUCAGAGAGAUGGUACAAGGACGGCUGGAGACAAAACAAGGCAGUAGCUCAAGGCCUCUGGACCGGUGCUCCCAGCUCUGACAGUGACUGUAAGCUGAUGUUCUGUCUGUCCACUGCUCCUCUCACUGCAGCAUCCAAGAUGUCGCAUACCCUUAGCACAGCCCUACUGUCACUCUGGACUGAAUCCUGGCUCGGCAACCUCGAUCCAAUUAUUCAAAAUGCUUGAGUGGAGCAAUAAAUACUUCAAAACAUAAAACAUGUCUAAAAGGGGACUUAUCUGCAAAAGUCAACGAUUUCCUGCUCUGACAAUGAACUUGGAAUAAAGGGCAGCAGUUUCUGAUUUAGCUGCUCAAAAAUAGCUCUUAAGAAAAAGUCUUAAAAAUAAUAAAGUCUUCCAACGGUGGCCACACAUGUGAUGAAGCACAGUGACCGCUGAUGAGCUCUGCACUGCACACGGGCAUGACCUUCACGCUGCAGGUUCUCGAGAGGGGGUAGCAGUCAGCCAGGGGACUUGCUGAGCACGGACAUUGUGGGCCAAGGACCUGUGUGUGUGUCCCGAGGCUCCUGUAAAACUGCGCUGUGCUGGAGUCCGGCCCAGAGGCUGUGACCACUCAUCUCUUCUGAAAUCAGAGCCCACCCUGGCUACUUCAGCUUGGGGUCAGCAGGAGGCGUCCACUCUGUGUUAUCUGGCCUUUAGGUACUGGAGUAUUCUGUUAUUUGUGGGGGUUUCUAUGUACUGUUUUUUUUUGUGCUUUUUUAUUUAAUUUCAGAAAUAAGGGAGGGUAUAUCGUGAAGACACUAAUAAAGGGAAAGGUUCGGAAACCCUUAGCGUCGAAAAAACUGAGAGGCUAGUUAGGAGAGGGUGGCAAGUCAGCGGAUGACCAGAAUCUUUUUCUUUUUUUUUCCAGAGCACUGGGCAGAAAUCACAUCGCAUCAACACCUGCCGCGGGCCUUCGUGAUGCUUUGUUUUAAUUAAACAGUCGGAUUCCCCUAGUCCGCACCAGUUUUAAGUCGCCUGCUAGGCGCCGGCCAAGGCGAGGCACCGCGUGGAACCACGGCCCUGGGGGCGGUCCCGGCGGGGGAUGAAAAGACCAGAAUCUGAGACAUUUAGACAGAGCUGGGCAGCCUACGGGAGACUUGUCCUUGCUUUUGCUUCUCCAAAAGUGACUCCCUUUGCACCCAGUUGCUAAAUUGUUAUCCCCGGAUAACCCAAGAGAGAAAGGAAAAAACACCCACACGAUAACAAAUGAAACCACAUUUCCUAAAUGUACUUGGGAAAUCAGAACCCUCUCCAGCUCAGGAGUGAUGGAAACGUUACACACGGCAAAACCAGAAUCAGGACUCAGUGAGUCAUUGAUGCUCUGACGCCAUUUAAUGAAUGUAGUGGCACCUUGUGCCAGUGCUUUACUUAGCACGUGAGGAGAAUUCUAUAUUUCUCAAAAAGUAUCCUCGUUUGAAGUAUAAAGAAAGUAGAAAUAAAUGAAAACAGUGAAUGUAAAGGUUGCAUUGCAGCUAACGGG